Molecule: long non-coding RNA, 247 nt
Organism: Penaeus monodon (black tiger shrimp)
Lineage: Eukaryota; Metazoa; Arthropoda; Malacostraca; Decapoda; Penaeidae
Exons: 2
Source: RefSeq, a predicted model, not a curated record
CUUCACUUAGCUCCAAGCUCCGUGCCCAUACACACCUUUUUCUCCACUUUUUCUUAUGAAAGAGAUACUCCAUUUAUCCAGAAAACGACUUUUACAAGACGAAUUGGCAAAGGGUCUGUGAAUCUAGAGAUCUCGCAGCAAACAAGUUGUCCCGGAAGAGACCACCAAGCCCAAGUCUCGUUCCUUACGGAUCCAUAUACUAUUGUUUUACCCUGUAUAAAUUGUAAAUAUAUAUUGGUGAAAUGUU